RNAcentral lists this unclassified non-coding RNA (27 nucleotides) under unclassified sequences. RNAcentral's name for it is "Aptamer that binds to tobramycin". The record is from RNAcentral. RNAcentral also lists the same sequence under 1 other name.
GGCACGAGGUUUAGCUACACUCGUGCC